UGGCGUAUAGCUCAGUUGGUAGAGCAGGUGACUGUUAAUCACCGGGUCCCUGGUUCGAGUCCAGGUACGCCAGCCA
Molecule: transfer RNA, 76 nt
Filed under: Ectopseudomonas mendocina
Lineage: Bacteria; Pseudomonadati; Pseudomonadota; Gammaproteobacteria; Pseudomonadales; Pseudomonadaceae
Description: Pseudomonas mendocina tRNA-Asn(gtt)
Rfam family: tRNA
About the family: Transfer RNA (tRNA) molecules are approximately 80 nucleotides in length. Their secondary structure includes four short double-helical elements and three loops (D, anti-codon, and T loops).
Source: RNAcentral